Molecule: ribosomal RNA, 445 nt
Filed under: uncultured bacterium
Lineage: Bacteria
Description: partial 16S ribosomal RNA
Rfam family: Bacterial small subunit ribosomal RNA
Source: RNAcentral
GUGAGGAAUAUUGGUCAAUGGACGAGAGUCUGAACCAGCCAAGUCGCGUGAAGGAAGACGGUUCUAUGAAUUGUAAACUUCUUUUGUGCAGGAAUAAAGUGGGUUACGUGUAACCUUUUGUAUGUACUGUACGAAUAAGGAUCGGCUAACUCCGUGCCAGCAGCCGCGGUAAUACGGAGGAUCCGAGCGUUAUCCGGAUUUAUUGGGUUUAAAGGGUGCAUAGGUGGAUUGAUAAGUCAGCGGUGAAAGUUUGCAGCUUAACUGUAAAAUUGCCGUUGAAACUGUCGGUCUUGAGUGCAAAUGAGGUAGGCGGAAUGUGUUGUGUAGCGGUGAAAUGCUUAGAUAUAACACAGAACUCCGAUUGCGAAGGCAGCUUACUGGGAUGCAACUGACACUGAUGCACGAAAGCGUGGGUAUCAAACAGGAUUAGAUACCCUGGUAGUCC